GCACUGGUCGUCUAGCGGCCAAGACACCGCUCCCGUAAAGCGGUUACGUGGGUUCGAGUCCCACCCGGUGCU
This 72-nucleotide transfer RNA is filed under the name Planctomycetota bacterium. Its description in RNAcentral is "Planctomycetes bacterium (marine metagenome) tRNA-Thr". It matches the Rfam family "tRNA". From Rfam's summary of the family: Transfer RNA (tRNA) molecules are approximately 80 nucleotides in length. Their secondary structure includes four short double-helical elements and three loops (D, anti-codon, and T loops). The record is from RNAcentral. Lineage: Bacteria; Pseudomonadati; Planctomycetota.